Molecule: ribosomal RNA, 255 nt
Filed under: uncultured bacterium
Lineage: Bacteria
Description: partial 16S ribosomal RNA
Rfam family: Bacterial small subunit ribosomal RNA
Source: RNAcentral
UACGGAGGGUGCAAGCGUUUGCUCGGAAUUAUUGGGCGUAAAGGGUAGGUAGGUGGUCUCAUUUGUCUGGGGUGAAAGCCUUGAGCUUAACUCGAGAAGUGCCCCAGAAACGGUGAGACUGGAGUCUUGGAGAGGGUCGUGGAAUUCCCGGUGUAGCGGAUGAAAUGCGUAGAGAUCGGGAGGAACACCAGCGGCGAAGGCGGCGACCUGGACAAGCACUGACACUCAACUACGAAAGCGUGGGGAGCAAACAGG